This is a long non-coding RNA of Sapajus apella (tufted capuchin), 3874 nucleotides long. RefSeq lists it as uncharacterized. The record is from RefSeq and is a predicted model, not a curated record. Lineage: Eukaryota; Metazoa; Chordata; Mammalia; Primates; Cebidae. The transcript has 3 exons.
CUAAGACCUCAGAGCCUUCUCGAAUGGCCCCACUGCCCCGCCACUCGAGCUGUCGUGUACCCCUCGCGGGCAGAGGGCAUGUAAGCUGGGUAGCUGUAUUGCUGUGAGCACAGGCCCAGGCAGGGCACCGAGACCCAGGCGGGAUCCUCCCAGAGGUUUUCAUUUUAGCAACAGCCAGUGCCCACAGGGCCUAAGGAGUUUAUGGACUGCCACCCCCACCCUGUCCUGCCUACCCUCCACUCCAACGCCCUGCUGUGACUGUAACACAGAUUUUAGGUUUUUGAAGGUUCUGAGAGCAAGCUUCAAUGACAGACCACACUGAUGAGUCCGUGGUGUAAAUAUCCAGAGCCCAAUCCCUUCCAAGGAAAAACGGUUGAGUGGGAAGCUGGACAGGGUUUCUAUUGUGUUGGUUCUCUUCCUCCUGCUGUGUGCUUGGUCUUUCUGGGGUGGGCAGAGUUGCACAUUUCCAGUCCUUUCCUGUGCUAGCAACCGACUAAUUAUUCAUCUUCCCUCCAGUUCUUGCUUCUUCUCCACCCCUUGUAUUGAUAAAUGUUUGCCUUCACCCACUCAAGAAGGAAGAAAAGUAAAUAAUCUGUAAUUUAGGUUUAUGCAAAAACAGCUGAAAAACUUGUGAGGAAAAGGAAAUGCUUAAUUACAGUCUCCUUCUUCUGAGUGGGGAAGUGGACCCUUUUGAAUAUCCAGUAUCUGUAUCAUAUAUAUGUUCUCUGUUUGGUAAAGGGAGUCUUACGACUUUUAAGAAAUUUUGUUACAAUAUAAUGGCAUGGAGAUUAUUUUGUCCUUGAUCCUUUUGAGCUUUUUAAAUUCAUUCAUUCUUUCAUUAAUUCACUCAACAAACAUUUUGUGCCUACCAUGUGCUGAAUGAUGGGGGCAGGGCGUGGGGUAGGGGGAAGACAGGGACCCUGGGAACCUUGUAAUGGUUUCCGAUUUACUUUGAAAGGUAGGGCUACAAAAAGUGAAACAGGAACAGAAAUCAACAUUCCUACCCCUCCUUUUUUCCUAAACACUACAAUUUAAAUUUCAUCAUCAUAGACACAGGACUUAGAAGGAAAAUAAUAUUAAAAUCAAGAAUAUGUCAGGGCUUCUCUAAGGCUUUGCUAGAUCUUUGUUUUGUUCCGAUGCUUAUUUUUGUGGGGGCCUCUGUCGUUACGUUUAAUAUAAAAAAAGCGAAACAGUAUGAUCAUUACAGUUGCUGUAUUCAUGUUUUGAAAUCAGUUGCACUAAUUAUGCCUUUUAAAAAGUUCCCCACAACAGUUUCUAUUUUAAAAAGGAAAAAAGAAAAAAGAAACAAAACAAUAACUCACAAGCCAUAUGAAGUACAAUGAAAAAUGUCCUUUAGUACAAAGCCAGGAGCAUGAAAUACGGACUCUUGCAACUAAAGGGACCCCAAGGAGUCCUCUGGUUCAUUUUUGUGUCUCAGGGCUGCUACUCCAAGGGUAAGAUGUGGAGAGCAAGGGGUUCUCCCAUAUAUUUACUCUGUAGCAAUUUAUCUGUGGUAAAAAGAAAUCUACUGGGGAAUCUCUAACUGGGCCAGAGGGAGAAAAAAUAAAAAGCAUCAGGAAGCAGAAUUUGUUUUUUCCUGUAACGCUAGAGGGCAGCCGUCUAUCCUCAUAACCCCGCAAGCAAGGCUGACUUUCUGGGUCUGUGACUUGUGCAGCUGGUUCAAGGUUCUGCUGUCGCCACCCUUAAAUUCUUAAAAAUGUUUGAUCAAAGGGUUCUACAUGUCCAUUUUGCCCAGGGCUCUGCAUAUUGGAGAGCCUAUCCUGCUAGCUGGUCACAUUAAACAGCAGUCCAGUCUGGGCCCGCAGACAGAGCCUAUGGCAGGCCAGCCAAAGGACAAGGCCUCCUCUGCCUGGGAACUCAAGCCACCUAUCCCCUCCUAAUCUGGUCACCUCCCAUGGACUACAUACACACUAAGACAGACUCAAUCGAUUAUAAAUCUAAGCAGUCACGCUGCAGGAUAGGUUUAUGCAUCAGUGGGUAUUGCGUUAAAAAUAACCCAUCUUCUAGCUCCUAUUUCAAAUCCAGUUAGAUUAGCUCAGUCAAUGACGCUGUCAUGUUCCUCUUAACGUCCACAAGGCUCUGAUUGAUUAAAUCAAGGCAGCCCAGCCAACUGCACCAAGGACAGAAGCGGACAUGUGCCAGCCAACCCAGGGCGGAUUGUAGAGCUGAGCAGAGUCUUUCCCUGUGUGUUCAUUUUCCUCUCUGGCAAAUACAUUACUAAAAUUUAUAUAAUAAAGUAUGAACGGUAUGUCAACAGAUUCAUUAUCACCAUGAAAUAUGCUUUGUGCACCCAGAUAACAUUUACAUUUUUAUUGAACCAGAGUCUGGGAAUACAAAAUCCACCCAACCCAAGCCAGUUUAUGGCUCUUAGAAGUCAAAUUAACUCUUACAGUUCAUUUAAGUACUUCUUUGCAGUUCAGUUUCCAAAGCAUCAACAAAAUGAUGCUGAUCAUAACAUUAAUAUAUUCAUUUUCUUGUCCAUCCAGUGCUGAAUGAUCCCUACAUGCCUUUAAAAGACCCUACUUAAUUGGCUUAUUUGUAAAUUAGGUUUUCAGGGACAAUACCGGAAUCAAUAUUUCAAAAAAUCAUCUGAAAGAUCUGAUUUGGGGUGAGUUACUGAGAUUUUUGGCCCUUAACAUGUGCGAAGAUGGUCCUAGUAUGUCAGAGCAGACCUUUCACAGAUGCCCACUGCCAUGGAGAAGUUUACUCCUGGUAAUCUUUCAAAAUCCACUGAUAUGCUGGAAUGCUUUCCAUGAGCCCUGAGAGGAGUAAGAGUAGGUUAAUGACUAAUCAGUUUCCAGGACGUCUGCAACCUUGUGAGAGAUAUCGAUUUCUCUGCUCUUGCUCAGAGAAUGUGAGCUAAAAAACAAUGACUCACGCCGCCGUGGAGAUGUGAGCUUAGGGUCAGUGGCCUAGAGAGGUGCAGAAGAGGGUCUUAUUUAGUAAGCAUAAAUAUAUAGUUCAGAUACCUUGGCUUUUAUUUUUAUAUGCUUGUAUAAAAAUAAGUGUCCCUUAAAAUGGUCAUUAAGGAGUGACUUGAUGAUACUCUAAAAUUAAAAAAAAAUAAUGUACACUGAGGGACAAGAUAUGGCUUCUAUGGAACAGUGCUGAGAUAUAGUUCAUGAAUAUUUUGUCUAAUUUCACCUUUCUCAUUCAAUUCAACCAAUGUAUGAUUUUAAACCACUUCACACAUUUUAAUUCAUGGGACCUUUUUAACUUUGAAAAUAAAUCAAGUUCAAUUCAGUCUUAUUCCACACUAUAGUGUAAUAAUUGUCAAUAUCUCAGAAUCACUUCCUUAAAAUACUGGAUUUUGUUCUAUCGCUGAUAUCAUCUGUCAUCCUUGGAGAAGUCACGUAUGAUCUCCAAGCUUCAGCUGAUUUGUUUUUAAAGUAAGGAAAUAAAAAAUGGAACAGUUAUGCUAAGACUCUUUCAAACAGGUUUGUGGUAAAGGAAUGGAUUUUAAUCAAUAUUUUUAGAUUGAAAGGAAAAAAAAUUGUUUGCAUCCAAUUAAAAAUAUAUAAAUAUAAUAAAAUUGAACUGUACCAAGAAGUUUGUUGAAUUUUGUCUAACUGUUUAAUAAUAAGUACUAUUUCCUUUGAUAAAAAGCAACAGAAACAUGUAUUAGUGGUGUGUAAUGACAAUUAGUAAACACCCACAAAUCGUACUUUUAUAUUACCAUGGUCUGUGUUCCCUCACUAAGGGUAAGUUCUGUCAAAGCAAAAGAUUUUGUUUCUUUUGUUCAUUAUGUUCCUAUUACCUGAAAUUUGCAAAAACACAUAGUAAGUGUUUAAUAAGUAUGUGCUAGGUGAAUGAAUGAAUAAAUCAAGAAAGACAGACAACUUCAUUCUUUUAA